AGAUUGAACGCUGGCGACAGGCCUAACACAUGCAAGUCGAGCGGCAGCACGGGUACUUGUACCUGGUGGCGAGCGGCGGACGGGUGAGUAAUGCCUAGGAAUCUGCCUGGUAGUGGGGGAUAACGCUCGGAAACGGACGCUAAUACCGCAUACGUCCUACGGGAGAAAGCAGGGGACCUUCGGGCCUUGCGCUAUCAGAUGAGCCUAGGUCGGAUUAGCUAGUUGGUGGGGUAAUGGCUCACCAAGGCGACGAUCCGUAACUGGUCUGAGAGGAUGAUCAGUCACACUGGAACUGAGACACGGUCCAGACUCCGUACGGGAGCAGCAGUGGGGAAUAGUUGGACAAGUGGGG
This 352-nucleotide ribosomal RNA is filed under the name uncultured soil bacterium. RNAcentral describes it as "bacterial SSU rRNA". It matches the Rfam family "Bacterial small subunit ribosomal RNA", at positions 26 to 377 of the family's 1533-position model. The record is from RNAcentral.